RNAcentral lists this ribosomal RNA (854 nucleotides) under uncultured archaeon. RNAcentral describes it as "bacterial SSU rRNA". It matches the Rfam family "Archaeal small subunit ribosomal RNA", at positions 467 to 1319 of the family's 1478-position model. The record is from RNAcentral.
GCGGUAACACCGGCAGCCCGAGUGGUGAUCACUAUUAUUGGGUCUAAAGGGUCCGUAGCCGGUUUAAUCAGUCUUCUGGGAAAUCUAAUCGCUUAACUAUUAGGCUUCCAGGGGAUACUGUUAGACUUGGGACCGGGAGAGGUAAGAGGUACUGCAGGGGUAGGAGUGAAAUCUUGUAAUCCCUGUGAGACCACCAGUGGCGAAGGCGUCUUACCAGAACGGAUCCGACGGUGAGGGACGAAAGCUGGGGGCACGAACCGGAUUAGAUACCCGGGUAGUCCCAGCUGUAAACGAUGCUCGUUAGGUGUCAGGAACGGUGCGACUGUUUCUGGUGCCGAAGGGAAGCCGUGAAACGAGCCACCUGGGAAGUACGGCCGCAAGGCUGAAACUUAAAGGAAUUGGCGGGGGAGCACUACAACGGGUGGAGCCUGCGGUUUAAUUGGACUCAACGCCGGAAAACUCACCGGGGGCGACAGCAAUAUGUAGGUCAGGUUAAAGGUCUUACCUGAAUCGCUGAGAGGAGGUGCAUGGCCGUCGUCAGUUCGUACUGUGAAGCAUCCUGUUAAGUCAGGCAACGAGCAAGACCCGUGCCCACUGUUACCAGCAUAUCCUUUAUGGAUGAUGGGGACUCUGUGGGGACCGCUGCUGCUAAAGCAGAGGAAGGUGCGGGCUACGGUAGGUCAGUAUGCCCCGAAUCUCCCGGGCUACACGCGGGCUACAAUGGUUGGGACAAUGGGUAUCUACUCCGAAAGGAGUUGGCAAUCUCUUAAACCCAAUCGUAGUUCGAAUUGAGGGCUGUAACUCGCCCUCAUGAAGCUGGAAUCCGUAGUAAUCGCGUUUCAACAUAGCGCGGU